Oreochromis niloticus (Nile tilapia) is the source of this 781-nucleotide long non-coding RNA. RefSeq lists it as uncharacterized. The record is from RefSeq and is a predicted model, not a curated record. The transcript has 2 exons. Lineage: Eukaryota; Metazoa; Chordata; Actinopteri; Cichliformes; Cichlidae.
UUACCCAAACUUAUGAUCCAUUCAUUGUAAUUUUAUCUUUAGGCUCUUUCUUAAUAGCAGCCUGUUGCAAAAACACAUAAUUUGUCGCCAUUUCUUUAAUUGAUUGUAUGGAAAAUUCCAAAGAAACCAGGGUUGACAGGGAUAAAACAAGGAGCUAUUACCGCAAAAUCAUCUCAGCACGGUGUGGAGCGUGCUCCACUUUCCUCAAAAACCUUGAGGAAAAUAGAGGACAAAAAAAAAGGUAGUAGGCCUAAACAGCCAUCUACAGCAGAUGAAUGGUAUAUGAAAGCAAUGUCCUUAAGAAACAGCGGGAGGAAUAUAGCAUAGACCUGACACAGGACCUGAGAGAUGCAUUUAUCCCUUCAGGUGAUCCAUCUAUAGUUCAGAGAAGCCUCAAAGCCUGGUCUCAGUGGAAGAGUGGCCAUAAGAAGCCAUUUCCAAGGAAGGGAAACAUGGAGAAAAGGGCUGAGGUUUUUUUUUAUUUUAUUUUUUUUCCAGACUACGAUGGCUUCCUUCACAUGCAUCGACCACUCUUUGGACCUCACAUUGAGAGCUCCGGUAAAAAGCUAUAAAAUGCAAAAAUAAACUCAUGGAAUCAAAUCCAGACCGUUGUAGUUAUUUUGUCCUGAAGUAAUCAGGAAGAAGGCAUCAACAGGCCACGAAGCAGCUUGCAAGUCAAUUGUCCAAUUACUUUGGAGAAUCUGAAAAUAAGCGACUGUGUAUAUAAUUCUUGAAUAGUGAAUGCCGUAUUUCUGUUAAACCCCUUGAAUUAAAGCUAAAA